This 592-nucleotide long non-coding RNA is filed under the name Coturnix japonica (Japanese quail). Its description in RNAcentral is "lncRNA (ENSCJPG00005019971.1)". The record is from RNAcentral. Lineage: Eukaryota; Metazoa; Chordata; Aves; Galliformes; Phasianidae.
CCCCACAGCUGUGGGCAUUUAAUCCUGCCAAAUGCUGAGCACAUGGGGCACAGCUCUGCCUUGGCCAUAUAACCCUUAGCAGGGACAUAACCCUCCUUUAGCUGAGUUCUCCAAGGGAAAGGAGGUAUUGCAGGGGAUAUCAGCACUCAGUGCUGUUCUUCUUUUAGGCACUGCUGAUCCCAGGUUGUAAGGCUCUUGGGGAGACUCUGCUCUCAAAGGGAUGUGAACCUGAAAGCACCAAGACUGGCCCUGACUUGGCCGGGUGUGAGCAUUAGUGGCGCUGCAUGCAAGCCCCCUUCAGUCUCAGAAUUAGAGAGCUGAAUGCAAAAAUGAGCUGCCAGUUCUUACAAGACAGGACAUUUCUAGAGCCUUGUGCUCUAUGACAUUUUCAAGCCCCAUCGACAGAAAGCCUUUGGGGAAACUGAGGCCAGGAGCAAUUUCAACUGGAGCAUCUGAACCAGGUGUUGUCAUGGGGCUGAGACAAGCAGUGCCCAGACUCCCAGUGCUACGAGCUGCAUGGCUGCCCCAAAGCUACAGAGGUCUCAAACCCCAGCUGCCCUAUAUGUGAAGGGGCUGGAGAAGAGGCUCAGGC